Molecule: ribosomal RNA, 255 nt
Filed under: uncultured bacterium
Lineage: Bacteria
Description: partial 16S ribosomal RNA
Rfam family: Bacterial small subunit ribosomal RNA
Source: RNAcentral
UACGGGGGGAGCAAGCGUUGUUCGGAUUUACUGGGCGUAAAGGGCGCGUAGGCGGUCGUGACAAGUCACUUGUGAAAUCUCCGGGCUUAACUCGGAACGGUCAAGUGAUACUGUCGGACUAGAGUACAGAAGGGGCAACUGGAAUUCCCGGUGUAGUGGUGGAAUGCGUAGAUAGUCGGGAGGAACACCAGUGGCGAAGGCGGUUGCCUGGAGCUUUGCUGACGCUGAGGCGCGAAAGCGUGGGGAGCGAUCCGG